UGAAGGACGUUACUAACGACGAUAUGCUUUGGGGAGCUGUAAGUAAGCUUUGAUCCAGAGAUUUCCGAAUGGGGAAACCCAGCAUGAGUUAUGUCAUGUUAUCGAUAUGUGAAUACAUAGCAUAUCAGAAGGCACACCCGGAGAACUGAAACAUCUUAGUACCCGGAGGAAGAGAAAGAAAAUUCGAUUCCCUUAGUAGCGGCGAGCGAAACGGGAAGAGCCCAAACCAACAAGCUUGCUUGUUGGGGUUGUAGGACACUCUAUACGGAGUUACAAAGGACGACAUUAGACGAAUCAUCUGGAAAGAUGAAUCAAAGAAGGUAAUAAUCCUGUAGUCGAAAAUGUUGUCUCUCUUGAGUGGAUCCUGAGUACGACGGAGCACGUGAAAUUCCGUCGGAAUCUGGGAGGACCAUCUCCUAAGGCUAAAUACUCUCUAGUGACCGAUAGUGAACCAGUACCGUGAGGGAAAGGUGAAAAGCACCCCGGAAGGGGAGUGAAAUAGAACCUGAAACCGUGUGCUUACAAGUAGUCAGAGCCCGUUAAUGGGUGAUGGCGUGCCUUUUGUAGAAUGAACCGGCGAGUUACGAUUUGAUGCAAGGUUAAGCAGUAAAUGUGGAGCCGUAGCGAAAGCGAGUCUGAAUAGGGCGUUUAGUAUUUGGUCGUAGACCCGAAACCAGGUGAUCUACCCUUGGUCAGGUUGAAGUUCAGGUAACACUGAAUGGAGGACCGAACCGACUUACGUUGAAAAGUGAGCGGAUGAACUGAGGGUAGCGGAGAAAUUCCAAUCGAACCUGGAGAUAGCUGGUUCUCUCCGAAAUAGCUUUAGGGCUAGCCUCAAGUGAUGAUUAUUGGAGGUAGAGCACUGUUUGGACGAGGGGCCCCUCUCGGGUUACCGAAUUCAGACAAACUCCGAAUGCCAAUUAAUUUAACUUGGGAGUCAGAACAUGGGUGAUAAGGUCCGUGUUCGAAAGGGAAACAGCCCAGACCACCAGCUAAGGUCCCAAAAUAUAUGUUAAGUGGAAAAGGAUGUGGCGUUGCCCAGACAACUAGGAUGUUGGCUUAGAAGCAGCCAUCAUUUAAAGAGUGCGUAAUAGCUCACUAGUCGAGUGACACUGCGCCGAAAAUGUACCGGGGCUAAACAUAUUACCGAAGCUGUGGAUUGUCCUUUGGACAAUGGUAGGAGAGCGUUCUAAGGGCGUUGAAGCAUGAUCGUAAGGACAUGUGGAGCGCUUAGAAGUGAGAAUGCCGGUGUGAGUAGCGAAAGACGGGUGAGAAUCCCGUCCACCGAUUGACUAAGGUUUCCAGAGGAAGGCUCGUCCGCUCUGGGUUAGUCGGGUCCUAAGCUGAGGCCGACAGGCGUAGGCGAUGGAUAACAGGUUGAUAUUCCUGUACCACCUAUAAUCGUUUUAAUCGAUGGGGGGACGCAGUAGGAUAGGCGAAGCGUGCGAUUGGAUUGCACGUCUAAGCAGUAAGGCUGAGUAUUAGGCAAAUCCGGUACUCGUUAAGGCUGAGCUGUGAUGGGGAGAAGACAUUGUGUCUUCGAGUCGUUGAUUUCACACUGCCGAGAAAAGCCUCUAGAUAGAAAAUAGGUGCCCGUACCGCAAACCGACACAGGUAGUCAAGAUGAGAAUUCUAAGGUGAGCGAGCGAACUCUCGUUAAGGAACUCGGCAAAAUGACCCCGUAACUUCGGGAGAAGGGGUGCUCUUUAGGGUUAACGCCCAGAAGAGCCGCAGUGAAUAGGCCCAAGCGACUGUUUAUCAAAAACACAGGUCUCUGCUAAACCGUAAGGUGAUGUAUAGGGGCUGACGCCUGCCCGGUGCUGGAAGGUUAAGAGGAGUGGUUAGCUUCUGCGAAGCUACGAAUCGAAGCCCCAGUAAACGGCGGCCGUAACUAUAACGGUCCUAAGGUAGCGAAAUUCCUUGUCGGGUAAGUUCCGACCCGCACGAAAGGCGUAACGAUUUGGGCACUGUCUCAACGAGAGACUCGGUGAAAUCAUAGUACCUGUGAAGAUGCAGGUUACCCGCGACAGGACGGAAAGACCCCGUGGAGCUUUACUGUAGCCUGAUAUUGAAAUUCGGCACAGCUUGUACAGGAUAGGUAGGAGCCUUUGAAACGUGAGCGCUAGCUUACGUGGAGGCGCUGGUGGGAUACUACCCUAGCUGUGUUGGCUUUCUAACCCGCACCACUUAUCGUGGUGGGAGACAGUGUCAGGCGGGCAGUUUGACUGGGGCGGUCGCCUCCUAAAAGGUAACGGAGGCGCUCAAAGGUUCCCUCAGAAUGGUUGGAAAUCAUUCAUAGAGUGUAAAGGCAUAAGGGAGCUUGACUGCGAGACCUACAAGUCGAGCAGGGUCGAAAGACGGACUUAGUGAUCCGGUGGUUCCGCAUGGAAGGGCCAUCGCUCAACGGAUAAAAGCUACCCCGGG
This 2424-nucleotide ribosomal RNA is filed under the name Staphylococcus aureus. RNAcentral describes it as "bacterial LSU rRNA". It matches the Rfam family "Bacterial large subunit ribosomal RNA", at positions 50 to 2472 of the family's 2925-position model. Lineage: Bacteria; Bacillati; Bacillota; Bacilli; Caryophanales; Staphylococcaceae. The record is from RNAcentral.